RNAcentral lists this ribosomal RNA (400 nucleotides) under uncultured bacterium. RNAcentral's name for it is "bacterial SSU rRNA". It matches the Rfam family "Bacterial small subunit ribosomal RNA", at positions 975 to 1375 of the family's 1533-position model. The record is from RNAcentral.
CACCUUUUGACAUGCCUGGACAUCCAGAGAGAUCUGGCUUUCCCUUCGGGGACUGGGACACAGGUGCUGCAUGGCUGUCGUCAGCUCGUGUCGUGAGAUGUUGGGUUAAGUCCCGCAACGAGCGCAACCCUCGCGAUUAGUUGCCAUCAGGUUUGGCUGGGCACUCUAAUCGUACUGCCGGAGUUAAUCCGGAGGAAGGCGGGGAUGACGUCAAGUCCUCAUGGCCCUUACAAGGUGGGCUACACACGUGCUACAAUGGCGACUACAGAGGGCUGCAAUCCCGCGAGGGGGAGCCAAUCCCUAAAAGUCGUCUCAGUUCGGAUUGUUCUCUGCAACUCGAGAGCAUGAAGUUGGAAUCGCUAGUAAUCGCGGAUCAGCAUGCCGCGGUGAAUACGUUCCC